CUUGUAUACUUUAUCGAGUAUAUAUAAUACUUCUUGUGUACGCUUUAUGGCAUUGUUUUUAGGUCUAUUCUACUAACAGUUCAAAUAAAGAUACGAAUUAUAUAUCCAAAGAGACGCUAAUGCAUCAAAAGUUGUCUAAGGAGUUAUUAACUGAAGAAAUAGAGAUUAAUGACGUUUCAGGUGGAUGCGGAUCAAUGUAUCAAAUUUAUGUUGCCUCUAAUAAGUUUCAGGGUGUUCCUUUACUUAAGCAGCACCAAUGGGUUACCGAUCUAUUAAAAGAAGAAAUAAAGGAAUUGCAUGGAUUGCAAAUUAUUACUAAAGUUUUGUAGUAAGUUAAUUUUAUUUACGAAAUUUAAUUU
Molecule: long non-coding RNA, 359 nt
Organism: Zophobas morio
Lineage: Eukaryota; Metazoa; Arthropoda; Insecta; Coleoptera; Tenebrionidae
Exons: 4
Source: RefSeq, a predicted model, not a curated record